Molecule: transfer RNA, 83 nt
Filed under: Amycolatopsis bullii
Lineage: Bacteria; Bacillati; Actinomycetota; Actinomycetes; Pseudonocardiales; Pseudonocardiaceae
Description: tRNA-Arg
Source: RNAcentral
UUCGGGUGUGGCCGAGGAGGGAGUGGUGUCCGGUUUCGGCUCGGGCUUGGGGUCCGGUUUGGGUUCGGGUUUCGGGUCCGGGG